RNAcentral lists this ribosomal RNA (414 nucleotides) under Argiope aurantia. RNAcentral's name for it is "partial 16S ribosomal RNA". It matches the Rfam family "Bacterial large subunit ribosomal RNA", at positions 1846 to 2580 of the family's 2925-position model. The record is from RNAcentral. Lineage: Eukaryota; Metazoa; Arthropoda; Arachnida; Araneae; Araneidae.
UUGUAAGUAACACCUGCUCAAUGAAUAUUUUUAAAUAGCCGCGGAAAUUUAACCGUGCUAAGGUAGCAUAAUCAUUAGCCUCUUAAUUAGAGGCUCGUAUGAACGGUGAAACAUUUCAAUUACUUUUUUAGUUAAUAUUUUUAAAUUUAAAUUAAGAAUAAAAAUGUUCUUAUAAAUAAAAUAGACGAUAAGACCCUUUUGAACUUUACUCUAGUUUAGCUGGGGCAGCUAAAAAAAAAUAAUCUUAUUUUUAAUAUUUAAAUAAAUGAUCCAAUAAAAUUGAUUAUAUGAACAAGUUACCAUAGGGAUAACAGCGUAAUAUCUUUUUAAAGCUCUUAUUAAAAAAGAAGAUUGCGACCUCGAUGUUGAAUUAGUGUAACUUUACUGAUGCAGUAAUUUUAAAAGUAGGUCUGU